AUAGGGGAGCCGGAGGGAAACCGAGUCUUAAUUGGGCGUUAAGUUGCAGGGUAUAGACCCGAAACCCGGUGAUCUAGCCAUGGGCAGGUUGAAGGUUGGGUAACACUAACUGGAGGACCGAACCGACUAAUGUUGAAAAAUUAGCGGAUGACCUGUGGCUGGGGGUGAAAGGCCAAUCAAACCGGGAGAUAGCUGGUUCUCCCCGAAAGCUAUUUAGGUAGCGCCUCGUGAAUUCAUCUCCGGGGGUAGAGCACUGUUUCGGCUAGGGGGCCAUCCCGGCUUACCAACCCGAUGCAAACUGCGAAUACCGGAGAAUGUUAUCACGGGAGACACACGGCGGGUGCUAACGUCCGUCGUGAAGAGGGAAACAACCCAGACCGCCAGCUAAGGUCCCAAAGUCAUGGUUAAGUGGGAAACGAUGUGGGAAGGCCCAGACAGCCAGGAUGUUGGCUUAGAAGCAGCCAUCAUUUAAAGAAAGCGUAAUAGCUCACUGGUCGAGUCGGCCUGCGCGGAAGAUGUAACGGGGCUAAACCAUGCACCGAAGCUGCGGCAGCGACGCUGAUGCGUUGUUGGGUAGGGGAGCGUUCUGUAAGCCUGCGAAGGUGGCCUGUGAGGGUUGCUGGAGGUAUCAGAAGUGCGAAUGCUGACAUAAGUAACGAUAAAGCGGGUGAAAAGCCCGCUCGCCGGAAGACCAAGGGUUCCUGUCCAACGUUAAUCGGGGCAGGGUGAGUCGACCCCUAAGGCGAGGCCGAAAGGCGUAGUCGAUGGGAAACGGGUUAAUAUUCCCGUACUUGGUGUUACUGCGAAGGGGGGACGGAGAAGGCUAUGUUGGCCGGGCGACGGUUGUCCCGGUUUAAGCGUGUAGGUGUGUGUUCCAGGUAAAUCCGGUUCACUUUAACACUGAGGCGUGACGACGAGGCACUACGGUGCUGAAGCAACAAAUGCCCUGCUUCCAGGAAAAGCCUCUAAGCAUCAGGUAACAUCAAAUCGUACCCCAAACCGACACAGGUGGUCAGGUAGAGAAUACCAAGGCGCUUGAGAGAACUCGGGUGAAGGAACUAGGCAAAAUGGUGCCGUAACUUCGGGAGAAGGCACGCUGACACGUAGGUGAAGUGAUUUACUCAUGGAGCUGAAGUCAGUCGAAGAUACCAGCUGGCUGCAACUGUUUAUUAAAAACACAGCACUGUGCAAACACGAAAGUGGACGUAUACGGUGUGACGCCUGCCCGGUGCCGGAAGGUUAAUUGAUGGGGUCAGCGCAAGCGAAGCUCCUGAUCGAAGCCCCGGUAAACGGCGGCCGUAACUAUAACGGUCCUAAGGUAGCGAAAUUCCUUGUCGGGUAAGUUCCGACCUGCACGAAUGGCGUAAUGAUGGCCAGGCUGUCUCCACCCGAGACUCAGUGAAAUUGAACUCGCUGUGAAGAUGCAGUGUACCCGCGGCAAGACGGAAAGACCCCGUGAACCUUUACUAUAGCUUGACACUGAACAUUGAGCCUUGAUGUGUAG
RNAcentral lists this ribosomal RNA (1504 nucleotides) under Salmonella enterica subsp. enterica serovar Mbandaka. RNAcentral describes it as "partial 23S ribosomal RNA". It matches the Rfam family "Bacterial large subunit ribosomal RNA", at positions 657 to 2141 of the family's 2925-position model. Lineage: Bacteria; Pseudomonadati; Pseudomonadota; Gammaproteobacteria; Enterobacterales; Enterobacteriaceae. The record is from RNAcentral.